CCCACUCAGGACAUCCUUACCACCGUCCUUACGGCAGCCCACAGAGCUGGCGGGCCCGGCCCCUCUACCCUUGGCUGACCUGCUCCCACCUAGUCUGCUCGGUAGCUCCUUCCAGCCUCGCUGACCUGCCCGUUGUCCCUGGAAUGCAUUGAGCGAACACUCCUAGAGGGCCUUUGCACUACUGUCCCUGCCUGGAAUGUUCUUUCCUCAUGCGUCCCCAUCCUCACUUCCCCACGUCUCUCAGGUUUCUGUUGAGAGGUCAUCUUAUCCAAGGGGACUUUCUUGACAGCCCUGCCCAGCACCAGCCACCCCGUCACUCAGUCUCCUUACCCCAUUCAGCCUUCCUGCAUAGCACUUCUACAUCCUAAAGUGUGUGUGUGUGUCUGAUUGCCAAACUUCUCCUGCUAAGAUGGAAGUUCCUUGAGAGCAGAGAUUGUACCGGGCUCACUGCAUCGGAGCCAGCACCCAGCACCGUCCUGACAGUCAGUGGGCACUUAGUGAAUGCUGAAUGAAUGGAUGUUGAGUGGAUGACAACCUGACUCUCCAGACUGCGUGUGAGCACAGAGGACGGACCAUUUUCCAAAUGCACUUCACUCUGAGAGGCCUCAGAUGCUCUGUCAUCAGCGCUGACUCCCUCCAUGGACGAGAAGACCCCAGGCAAAUUGUUAACAUCAACCAAAGCCCUAAAAGUGAUUCUGGCAGCAAAUGAGCAUGUGUCUGCGAAGCAGGUGAAGGGCCCGGGACUCUGGGCUGGACACAUUGGCGGCUGCAGGCCUGAGAAGACCCCACCGGGCGGGAGGUGCUGAGCCCUAUUGCAGGAUGCCCCGGCUGUCCCCCAGGGACCCCCGCUUUGAAGGCGUGUCCCCCAAAUUUCCUUGACUGGGAUCCUGGCAGGAAACAGAUGGCUCAUGAAAGGAGUCAUUGUGAGGACUGUCAACAGAAGCACGAACAGAGCAAGAAAACCAGCAAGGGGAUGAUGAGGCACCCGGGGGCGGGCAGCAGAGUGAAGCUGCUCCCACCUGAGGCUUCACCAUGAGGGAGGAGAGCCCAGCCCGGCCCAGGGACAUCGCUGGCCACCACAGAUAAACGUUCACUUUGAAUUGCAGGGACCACCGUUUCCAAAUUAAAGUAGCCACUGUCUGAAAGACGCGAGCCUGUGGCUUCCCGGAGUGAGAGGCAGUCGCAGAGAUGGUGUUGAGAUGCCCUAAAGAUCAGAAACACUGGAACAUUUCAGCAGCUUUGGGGGACAGAGUAUUUGCGAUCAGGACUGUACUUUGGGAUGCAGAAGCUUUGGCUAGGGGGCUUCUGC
Sapajus apella (tufted capuchin) is the source of this 1309-nucleotide long non-coding RNA. RefSeq lists it as uncharacterized. Lineage: Eukaryota; Metazoa; Chordata; Mammalia; Primates; Cebidae. The record is from RefSeq and is a predicted model, not a curated record. The transcript has 4 exons.